AUUACUGUAAGAGAAAUCUUAUAAAAUUAUAAGCAAAUUCCCUAAAAUAUUAUUCCCUCCUGUCAAUCCAUUUCCCUCUAAAUAAAGUUAAAAAUGUCACUCUCUACGUUCUCUUCCUUUUCUUUUUCGCAGUGGCCUCUCUCUCUUUAUAUAGACCUGACAAACGGGCCGGAUCAUCGACGGGCCGGACUAUCAACAGGCCGGGUCAAAAUGACUCAAGUUUUGAUGGACUGAAAUUACGCGGCCCGUGGCUCAGAUUAGGCCGGCCCAGCCCGACCCGCGGGCUUUUUCAUUUUUUUUAAAAUCCGUAAAUACUGUAAAGCACAGGAAGGAAAUGACUAAAUGAGUAAACAUAUUACUAAUACAUACAAUGAUACAAAUGAGAAAAACUAAUAAAUAUUAAAUGAACCAAGAGCAAAUAGAAUAGAAUCCCAGCAAGAGUUAUUGUAAAUCCAUUCAUCCCAAGCCACUCCCAUCACUGCAAUAGCAAUAAUAAAAUUUACCCAGCAACAGUAAUAUUUUACUUCAAUCAACUUCUAGAUUUGAGUCAUCGUUAAAUACCCAAUGAGAAAACUGAAACUGAAAGGGGAAAAACAAAGAAAAAGAAAAGAGAAUGAAACAAAUCUACUAAUAAAACAUAAAUGUAUUACAUAAAUGAUUGUAUAUAAGGAUAUGGCUUCAAUUCAAUGACUGGAAUUUUUCUUACACGAGCUAAAGAAUUAAAUAUACAGAACCCACAUUAUAUGUUCUUGUUUAAUAUUCCAUUUGCACAUUAUCUGAACUCUUCUAAUGGACUUUAGAAUGAGAAGAAAAUCAUGCAGGAGCAGGACAUCAAUUUUCAAGAAACUGCACUACCAUAUGAGAGAAAAAUCCUGUAAAUCAUCUUCCAAAUUAAAAGGGUAACCAAAUUUAUGUAAAGGAAAAAUAAAAGGACGAACAAGAAAAAUGAUAAAUAUCCAGAUCGAAUAAUUGCAGGACAUAUUAAAAAUUAAAACACACUAACUUUUUUACCUAAAAACAAGGAAUUCAAUAUUUUGGGCAAAAAAGUGAAAGAAAAUUACAUACCUUGAACCAAAAAAGUAGAUCUGAUCCUUCAACCAAAAAUGAAAAAGCUAAGCAACAAAGUCGGGACGAAGAGGAUAAAACACUGAGAUAUAUUAUAUAUAGAGAUAAAAUUACUCAGAUUCGGGACGAAGAGGAAGAACUAAGAAGCUACAUAGUCGGCGACUCGGCGUGGUCGAUCGAAGCGUGGAUUUCUCGGUCGUGACUCGUCGUUGGCUCUUUGAGGACUCUCAGUUUUAGAUCUGAAUCAUCUGAUAUCAAAAAAGACUAGCUAAGCCGGUUAGAGUAUAGUGUACUCGAACAUAA
This 1368-nucleotide long non-coding RNA is filed under the name Panax ginseng (ginseng). Its description in RNAcentral is "long non-coding RNA (PGIN_LNC016003)". The record is from RNAcentral. Lineage: Eukaryota; Viridiplantae; Streptophyta; Magnoliopsida; Apiales; Araliaceae.